Molecule: transfer RNA, 60 nt
Filed under: Araneus angulatus
Lineage: Eukaryota; Metazoa; Arthropoda; Arachnida; Araneae; Araneidae
Description: tRNA-Gln
Source: RNAcentral
UUUGUUAAAGUUUCACACUUAAAAAUUUGAUUUUUAAAUAGAUUUAAAUAUCUAACAAAA